UACGUAGGUGGCAAGCGUUGUCCGGAUUUAUUGGGUUUAAAGGGUGCGUAGGCGGCUUUGUAAGUCAGUGGUGAAAUAUGGCAGCUCAACUGUCAAGGUGCCAUUGAUACUGCAGAGCUUGAGUACAGAUGAGGUAGGCGGAAUUGACGGUGUAGCGGUGAAAUGCUUAGAUAUCGUCAAGAACACCUAUAGCGAAGGCAGCUUACUAGGCUGUAACUGACGCUGAGGCACGAAAGUGUGGGGAUCAAGCAGG
This 253-nucleotide ribosomal RNA is filed under the name uncultured bacterium. RNAcentral describes it as "partial 16S ribosomal RNA". It matches the Rfam family "Bacterial small subunit ribosomal RNA", at positions 524 to 776 of the family's 1533-position model. The record is from RNAcentral.